This 245-nucleotide ribosomal RNA is filed under the name uncultured Haliangium sp. Its description in RNAcentral is "partial 16S ribosomal RNA". It matches the Rfam family "Bacterial small subunit ribosomal RNA", at positions 524 to 768 of the family's 1533-position model. The record is from RNAcentral. Lineage: Bacteria; Pseudomonadati; Myxococcota; Haliangiales; Kofleriaceae.
UACAGGGGGUGCAAACGUUGCUCGGAAUCAUUGGGCGUAAAGCGCACGUAGGCGGUUCGUUAUGUCGGAUGUGAAAGCCCUUGGCUUAACCGAGGAAGUGCAUCCGAAACUGGCGAGCUAGAGUACUAAAGAGGAUCGCGGAAUUCCCGGUGUAGAGGUGAAAUUCGUAGAUAUCGGGAGGAACACCGGUGGCGAAGGCGGCGAUCUGGGUAGAUACUGACGCUGAGGUGCGAAAGCGUGGGGAG